Molecule: ribosomal RNA, 255 nt
Filed under: Triticum aestivum (bread wheat)
Lineage: Eukaryota; Viridiplantae; Streptophyta; Magnoliopsida; Poales; Poaceae
Description: partial small subunit ribosomal RNA
Source: RNAcentral
AUGGCGCAUCUGUACGAGCGCAGGGAGUUCCCGUACCCGGGCGACGAGGAGGCGGUGGAGGAGUUCAUAAAGAGCGGGGGCGCCCUGGGCACGACGAUCGGGCCCAAGGGGUUCGCGGACGCCAACAUGGACUCGGACAACAUGCAGAAGCAGCUGCAGUCCAAGAAGUUUGACCAGGAGGCGCGGAAGCUGUGGUUCCGGAUGCGGAACGAGGUGGUGCAGGAGCUCCAGGAGAAGGGGUUCGACGUCGAAUGA